GCCUGGGUGGCUCAGUCGGUUGAGCGUCUGACUUCGGCUCAGGUCAUGAUCUCACAGUCCGUGAGUUCGAGCCCCGCGUCAGGUU
This 85-nucleotide transfer RNA is filed under the name Felis catus (domestic cat). It matches the Rfam family "tRNA". From Rfam's summary of the family: Transfer RNA (tRNA) molecules are approximately 80 nucleotides in length. Their secondary structure includes four short double-helical elements and three loops (D, anti-codon, and T loops). Further hydrogen bonds mediate the characteristic L-shaped molecular structure. tRNAs have two regions of fundamental functional importance: the anti-codon, which is responsible for specific mRNA codon recognition, and the 3' end, to which the tRNAs corresponding amino acid is attached (by aminoacyl-tRNA synthetases). tRNAs cope with the degeneracy of the genetic code in two manners: having more than one tRNA (with a specific anti-codon) for a particular amino acid; and 'wobble' base-pairing, i.e. permitting non-standard base-pairing at the 3rd anti-codon position. The record is from Rfam by way of RNAcentral. Lineage: Eukaryota; Metazoa; Chordata; Mammalia; Carnivora; Felidae.